This 211-nucleotide ribosomal RNA is filed under the name Crypthecodinium cohnii. RNAcentral describes it as "partial Bacterial large subunit ribosomal RNA". It matches the Rfam family "Bacterial large subunit ribosomal RNA", at positions 1698 to 1917 of the family's 2925-position model. Lineage: Eukaryota; Dinophyceae; Gonyaulacales; Crypthecodiniaceae. The record is from RNAcentral.
ACUGUGCUGAAGGAACUCGGCAAAUUGCACGCGUAACUUCGGAAGAAGCGUGACCCCUUUUUACGCAAGUGGAAAGGGGUGGCACAGACCAGGGGGUAGCGACUGUUUAUCAAAAACACAGGGCUCUGCGAAGUUGCAAAACGACGUAUAGGGUCUGACGCCUGCCCGGUGCCUGAAGGUUAAGUGGAGGGGUGCAAGCUCUGAAAUGAAG